Molecule: ribosomal RNA, 258 nt
Filed under: uncultured bacterium
Lineage: Bacteria
Description: partial 16S ribosomal RNA
Rfam family: Bacterial small subunit ribosomal RNA
Source: RNAcentral
CUUGCUUUCUUUGCUGGCGACCGGCGCACGGGUGAGUAACACGUAUCCAACCUGCCCUUUACUCGGGGGUAGCCUUUCGAAAGAAAGAUUAAUACCCGAUAGUAUAAUGAUUCCGCAUGGUUUCAUUAUUAAAGGAUUCCGGUAAAGGAUGGGGAUGCGUUCCAUUAGGUUGUUGGUGAGGUAACGGCUCACCAAGCCUUCGAUGGAUAGGGGUUCUGAGAGGAAGGUCCCCCACAUUGGAACUGAGACACGGUCCAA